AUAUGAGAAAAAAUAAAGACUCUCCAUUAACAACACGUUUUUAACUGUUUAACAGGCCUUCACAUCUCUAAAACCAUAUAACAAAGGUGACAAUUUUACGAGCCAAGUUAUGCAUAGCACAUUUUAUGUUCCUAAACGACCUAAGUGAUUUUUGUAGGUCCUCAAAGGACACUAAAAAAGUAAGUGUAGCGGAGGAAAAGAGAAUUGUACGUAUUUCCAUUUCUCCAUCAAAUAGCCAUAUUUCUUUAAUAGAAAAGUCAUUCCUCACCCCCCUUCCUCCUUUUGUCCAAAACGUCCCAACGUUUCUCCUCCCUAGUCCAGACCUGUUUUGUCUGUGACGUGUCACUGUGUCGUCUGCCACGGUUCGGAGGCCACGACUCCCCAGUGUGGUUGGAGCUGGUGUCACUUGGUGGGCCACGUAUUCUCCCACCCUCAGGUGCUCCGUCCUUCCAUACAGCAAACUCCCUCCGAGACCAGAGCUCAUGGAAAAGGGAAAGAUCUGGGCCUGGAACUUGAGGAGGGAGCCGGGGAAACAGGCCUAGAGGUGGCAUGACAGAAAGCUGCUGGUCUUCCACUCUCAGGGGUCUGUUUCACCUUCCCUCCCUGAGUAAGGAGGCCGGGUUGGGGGGCGGGGGUCGUACCUGCCUCCCCAUCUGGGAUGCCCCCCUCCACCUGCAGCUCUCCAGCCAUGGCCUCAGGGAGCAGGGGCUGUCACCCUGGGCAUGUGGCCGCGUGUUUUCUCUUCUCACUGGGACUUCUCAGAGGAGUGACCAUCCCCUAAUAUUUGGAGACUCUGCCCAGCGGAACGAGCUGUGUCCCCUGCUGUCAGGCCAAGUCAGCAAAAACUUUGCUCAGCAAGACUGUGAGACCUUGGAUCUUCUCAGAGUAGGAUGAGGGGUCAACUUGAGAAGACACGAGCGCUGUUCUGUGAAGACACUAUACUUCAUCGCCCAGGGGAGAGUGUCCAAGGAGAUUCUGGGAGCUUGAAGUAAACUUUAAAAAGCAAAGAAUUUCCUUUCUCCCCAGCCAAGCCCUGCUUCGAACUGCAACAUGAACAGCUUCAUAGCAGAGGGACUUGGGAGAGCUCUCAGUUGGGGCCUCAUGUAGGGCAGCCUCAAGACUUGUCCUGGCGAUGAUGCUGGGGUUGAUAUGGUCCAGUGAGAAGAGCAUCAGCUCUGGAGUUGGGCCUGGAUUCCAUUCCUGAUUCUGCUGCCUGUCAGCCCAGUGACCCUGGGCAAAGAACUCAACCCCUCUGAGCCCAUUUUUCCAUAUUUGCAAAAUGGACAGUAGUCCCUACUUCACAGGUUGUGGAGGGACCUGAAAGGACAAUAAAUCUCUAGCGUAUGGUUUGGAAGUUAA
Herpailurus yagouaroundi (jaguarundi) is the source of this 1359-nucleotide long non-coding RNA. RefSeq lists it as uncharacterized. NCBI's taxonomy places the organism in Eukaryota, Metazoa, Chordata, Mammalia, Carnivora, Felidae. The record is from RefSeq and is a predicted model, not a curated record. The transcript is spliced from 2 exons.